CAGAGAAGGCUCCAAAAAGAUGGAUCCCAUCUGGGAAGGUCCGUACAAGAUCAGCAGAGUAGGGGGCAAGAGUAAUUACACCCUCACCACCAUGAAGCGGUAAAAAGAUUGAAAAGAAAUGGAUGGCCUACAAUCUGAAGAAGUACCAUGUGUGACCUCCCGCUACAUCAAAACCCGAAGACUCAAUAAGCUCGACGGGCACCACCUCACAAGCUGAGGACUAUCCAGUUGUUAUGCAGUUCCUACCUUACAGCUAAAGUUCUCGUUCGUUUCACUCGUUUUUCAAUGAGGAAUUUAGAAGUAAUCACAACUUGGCUUGGCUGCAUGCUUAC
RNAcentral lists this long non-coding RNA (332 nucleotides) under Malus domestica (apple). RNAcentral describes it as "long non-coding RNA (MDOM_LNC017657)". Lineage: Eukaryota; Viridiplantae; Streptophyta; Magnoliopsida; Rosales; Rosaceae. The record is from RNAcentral.